CGCCGCGCUCCCGGAGCGGGAGAGGCUGCCGGCUGCUCCGGAAGAGGCGCUCCUUCCCCCGUCACUGCCCGGAGUGCGCGUUGCUACAUCAGCCGGCGGGCGCGGGGCAAAAGGGAUGCGCGCUCCGGAACCGCUGGAAAGAGAGGUCUGUUCGGAGCAGCGCCCCGCGGGGAAGCGCCUCUCACGGCAUCGUUGUCGUCCGAGGGGACGGCGGUAGUGCCGAGUUAUGGUGCGGAAAGUCAGCGCUUGGCGGUGCCGGCCACGCUCCGCUGCUGCGGGAGGAGGCCGCGCUGGCUCCUGCUUGGUUGGACGGAGCUGCUGUGAGGACGAUAACUUUCCGACAAUUUCAAGGAGGCCAUUUUCCAGAAGAGCCCGUGUCCUUCCUCUCGACUUUCCUCACGUCUCUUGACAGAUUAUUUUCAUCUCACUAAAGCAGAAGCUCUUCUAACACUGAUGUUUAAAAGCAUCCCUGCUGGUUAUUUUUGCCUAGCAGUUUCUGUAUGAGCAACAGCAUCAUAUGAUUUUUGAAGAUGGCAAAGUAAUGCAGUCUGAAUCCCCAGGCAAGUCACCACCAAACUGGGAAGAAAGCAGUACACAAGUUGUUGAAUAAGUUUAAAGUUAUUAAUGUGUUUGGCUGCUAUUCAUCAAUGACAUUGUUUGAACGGGUAUAAAUAAAAGAGGUGAAUAAACAGUUAUAAUAAGCUAUUAGUGAAACUAUCCAUGUAGAAGCCAGCAUGUACCCAAUUUAUAAUUACUGAAGGCAGUCUAUUUUCUGGCAGAAAUUAAGGAUACUGCGUAACAGAAUGCUGUGUACUCCUCUACACAGCAUAGUUCAAAUACUUAAGGGAUGAUUUCUAAUACAUUUCUGUAGAAAUCACCAACAUUGCCACAAAAUUACUGCUAGAUUUCCUGCAGGCCCUCCAACUAUUUUCCAAUCUAGAACAGUCAUGAAAAGCCCUGCUUUUCUAACAGUGACCUACUGGUUGUCUUCUUGGUGUGAAGUCCUGG
Long non-coding RNA from Gallus gallus (chicken), 1008 nucleotides. The record is from Ensembl. NCBI's taxonomy places the organism in Eukaryota, Metazoa, Chordata, Aves, Galliformes, Phasianidae.